GGCAUUAUAUGGCAAAGUGGUUUGAGUGUUGGACUAUGACUUUGGAGACCAGAGUUUGAAUCCCUGUUGUGCCG
This is a non-coding RNA of Phrynosoma platyrhinos (Desert horned lizard), 74 nucleotides long. The record is from the annotation of a GenBank genome assembly. NCBI's taxonomy places the organism in Eukaryota, Metazoa, Chordata, Lepidosauria, Squamata, Phrynosomatidae.